UGAAUACGAGACGCUAAGGCGUCGAAGUAGUGUAUGUCAUACUUCCAAGAAAAGCUUGCACUGUCAUAGAUAAAAAACGCCUGUACCAUAACCGACACAGGUGGGUAGGUAGAGUAUACUAAGGGGCGCGAGAUAACUCUCUCUAAGGAACUCGGCAAAAUAACUCCGUAACUUCGGGAGAAGGAGUGCCUUAUUAUUAAGGUUGCAAUAACAAGAUCCAAGCAACUGUUUAUCAAAAACACAGGUCUCCGCUAAGUCGUAAGACGAUGUAUGGGGGCUGACGCCUGCCCAGUGCCAGAAGGUUAAAGAAGCUGGUUAGCAUUUGCGAAGCUAGUAACUGAAGCCCUGGUGAACGGCGGCCGUAACUAUAACGGUCCUAAGGUAGCGAAAUUCCUUGUCGGGUAAGUUCCGACCCGCACGAAAGGCGUAAUGAUUUGGAUACUGUCUCGGAGAGGGGCUCGGUGAAAUAGACUUGUCUGUGAAGAUGCGGACUACCUGCACCAGGACAGAAAGACCCUAUGAAGCUUUACUGUAACUUGAAAUUGAAAUUGGACUUUAUUCGCGCAGUAUAGGUGGGAGGCGUUGAUUAUAAUCUUGCGGGAUUAUUGGAGCCAUUAGUGAGAUACCACUCUUGUAAUGUUAGAUUUCUAACUUUGAAUCAUUAUCUGGUCAAAGAACAGUUUCAGGCGGGCAGUUUGACUGGGGCGGUCGCCUCCUACACGGUAACGGAGGCGUACAAGGGUUUCCUCUGAACGGUUAGAAAUCGUAUCUAGAGUGUAAAGGCAUAAGGAAGCUUGACUGUGAGACCUACAAGUCGAGCAGGGACGAAAGUCGGUCUUAGUGAUCUGACGGUACUGAGUGGAAAGGCCGUCACUCAACGGAUAAAAGUUACUCUAGGAUAACAGGCUGAUCUCCCCCAAGAGUUCACAUCGACGGGGAGGUUUGGCACCUCGAUGUCGGCUCAUCGCAUCCUGGGGCGGUAGUACGUCCCAAGGGUUGGGCUGUUCGCCCAUGAAAGCGGUACGCGAGCUGGGUUCAGAACGUCGUGAGACAGUUCGGUCCAUAUCCGGUGUAGGCGUUAGAAUAUUGAGAGGAGCCUUCUUUAGUACGAGAGGACCGAGAAGGACAUACCUCUGGUGUACCAGUUAUCGUGCCAACGGUAGACGCUGGGUAGCUAUGUAUGGAGUGGAUAACCGCUGAAAGCAUCUAAGUGGGAAGCCCACCUCAAGAUAAGUAUUCU
This 1240-nucleotide ribosomal RNA is filed under the name metagenome. RNAcentral describes it as "bacterial LSU rRNA". It matches the Rfam family "Bacterial large subunit ribosomal RNA", at positions 1564 to 2814 of the family's 2925-position model. The record is from RNAcentral.